UCGUGUGAAUUAAUCAAGUCAAUAAGUGGAUACAACAGGCAACUUAAUUAAAAAGUGUGCUAUCUACUGUCCGCAUCAUAUUUGUUUCACAUGCUGCGGCUUGUAACAGGCACAACCAAUAAGAAUUGGCUAUAAUAAA
Long non-coding RNA from Harpegnathos saltator (Jerdon's jumping ant), 139 nucleotides. RefSeq lists it as uncharacterized. The transcript has 2 exons. NCBI's taxonomy places the organism in Eukaryota, Metazoa, Arthropoda, Insecta, Hymenoptera, Formicidae. The record is from RefSeq and is a predicted model, not a curated record.